Molecule: transfer RNA, 72 nt
Filed under: Erinaceus europaeus (western European hedgehog)
Lineage: Eukaryota; Metazoa; Chordata; Mammalia; Eulipotyphla; Erinaceidae
Rfam family: tRNA
About the family: Transfer RNA (tRNA) molecules are approximately 80 nucleotides in length. Their secondary structure includes four short double-helical elements and three loops (D, anti-codon, and T loops).
Source: Rfam by way of RNAcentral
CUGGAUGUAACUCAGUGGUAGAGUACAAGCUUCCCAUGUGUGAGGACCUGGGUUCGAUCCCUGGCAAACACU